RNAcentral lists this unclassified non-coding RNA (235 nucleotides) under Hevea brasiliensis (rubber tree). Lineage: Eukaryota; Viridiplantae; Streptophyta; Magnoliopsida; Malpighiales; Euphorbiaceae. The record is from RNAcentral.
ACAAAAUGGAUGGCAAUAAAUUGGAUGAUCUGGUAUGCGUCAGGCAUUCCUUGAAAUCCGACGCAUAAGCAUAAGCGCAGCUGUGUUUUUGUGCUUCAGUUGGUUGCAAGGAGGCAGAUCUCUGUUGGUUAUUAUCAAUAUGGCAUGAAACUAACUUCCUUUGAGAUGAGCCUCUUGGAUGAUGAAACACAGGGCGGUCCUAGCACCCCAAUCCCCCACACCAACACCCGCAAAC